GAACGCUGGCGGCAUGCCUUACACAUGCAAGUCGAACGGCAGCACGGGUGCUUGCACCUGGUGGCGAGUGGCGAACGGGUGAGUAAUAGUAUCGGAACGUACCUUAGUCGUGGGGGAUAACGCAGCGAAAGCUGCGCUAAUACCGCAUACGCCCUGAGGGGAAANCGGGGGACCGUAAGGCCUCGCGCGAUUAGAGCGGCCGAUAUCUGAUUAGCUUGUUGGUGGGGUAAAAAGCCCACCAAGGCGACGAUCAGUAGCUGGUCUGAGAGGACGAUCAGCCACACUGGGACCGAGACACGGCCCAGACUCCUACGGGAGGCAGCAGUGGGGAAUUUUGGACAAUGGGGGCAACCCUGAUCCAGCAAUGCCGCGUGAGUGAAGAAGGCCUUCGGGUUGUAAAGCUCUUUUGUCAGGGAAGAAACAGCAGCUCUAACACGGUCUGCGAAUGACGGUACCUGAAGAAUAAGCACCGGCUAACUACGUG
RNAcentral lists this ribosomal RNA (484 nucleotides) under uncultured bacterium. RNAcentral's name for it is "bacterial SSU rRNA". It matches the Rfam family "Bacterial small subunit ribosomal RNA", at positions 31 to 507 of the family's 1533-position model. The record is from RNAcentral.